This 253-nucleotide ribosomal RNA is filed under the name uncultured bacterium. Its description in RNAcentral is "partial 16S ribosomal RNA". It matches the Rfam family "Bacterial small subunit ribosomal RNA", at positions 524 to 776 of the family's 1533-position model. The record is from RNAcentral.
GACGAACCGUGCGACCGUUGUUCGGAAUCACUGGGCUUAAAGGGCGCGUAGGCGGGCUGCCAAGUCUGGGGUGAAAUCCCACGGCUCAACCGUGGAACUGCCUCGGAUACUGGCGGCCUCGAGGGAGGUAGGGGCGUGCGGAACUGUGGGUGGAGCGGUGAAAUGCGUUGAUAUCCACAGGAACUCCGGUGGCGAAGGCGGCACGCUGGACCUUUUCUGACGCUGAGGCGCGAAAGCCAGGGGAGCAAACGGG